AGCGAACGCUGGCGGCAGGCUUAACACAUGCAAGUCGAGCGGGCGUAGCAAUACGUCAGCGGCAGACGGGUGAGUAACGCGUGGGAACGUACCUUUUGGUUCGGAACAACACAGGGAAACUUGUGCUAAUACCGGAUAAGCCCUUACGGGGAAAGAUUUAUCGCCGAAAGAUCGGCCCGCGUCUGAUUAGCUAGUUGGUGAGGUAAUGGCUCACCAAGGCGACGAUCAGUAGCUGGUCGAGAGGAUGAUCAGCCACAUUGGGACUGAGACACGGCCCAAACUCCUACGGGAGGCAGCAGUGGGGAAUAUUGGACAAUGGGCGCAAGCCUGAUCCAGCCAUGCCGCGUGAGUGAUGAAGGCCCUAGGGUUGUAAAGCUCUUUUGUGCGGGAAGAUAAUGACGGUACCGCAAGAAUAAGCCCCGGCUAACUUCGUGCCAGCCGCCGCGGUAAC
Molecule: ribosomal RNA, 451 nt
Filed under: uncultured bacterium
Lineage: Bacteria
Description: bacterial SSU rRNA
Rfam family: Bacterial small subunit ribosomal RNA
Source: RNAcentral